AGAGUUUGAUCAUGGCUCAGGAUGAACGCUUGCGGCGCGCCUAAAACAUGCAAGUCGAACGAACCCAAUCUUCGGAAAGGGUUAGUGGCAGACGGGUGAGUAACACGUGGGUGACCUGCCCUGAAGUGGGGGAUAACUACUCGAAAGGGUGGCUAAUACCGCAUACGCUUGCUGAUUCAGUUCAGUAAGUAAAACUACGGUGCUUCGGGAGGGGCCCGCGGCCGAUUAGCUAGUUGGUGAGGUAAUGGCCCACCAAGGCUCUGAUCGGUAGCUGGUCUGAGAGGAUGAUCGGCCACACUGGCACUGAGACACGGGCCAGACUCCUACGGGAGGCAGCAGUUAGGAAUAUUGGACAAUGGGCGAAAGCCUGAUCCAGCGACGCAGCGUGGGUGAUGAAGGCCUUCGGGUCGUAAAACCCUUUUCUGGGGGAAGAGGAAGGACGGUACCCCAGGAAUAAGUCUCGGCUAACUACGUGCCAGCAGCCGCGGUAAAACGUAGGAGACAAGCGUUAUCCGGAUUUACUGGGCGUAAAGCGCACCCAGGUGGCCUUGUAAGUCGGGCGUGAAAUCUUCUGGCUCAACUGGAAGGGGUCGUCCGAUACUGCAAGGCUUGAGAGUGGGAGAGGGAGGCGGAAUUCCCGGUGUAGCGGUGAAAUGCGCAGAUAUCGGGAGGAACACCAGUGGCGAAAGCGGCUUCCUGGCCCAUUUCUGACGCUCAAGUGCGAAAGCGUGGGGAGCGAACGGGAUUAGAUACCCCGGUAGUCCACGCUGUAAA
RNAcentral lists this ribosomal RNA (774 nucleotides) under uncultured bacterium. RNAcentral's name for it is "bacterial SSU rRNA". It matches the Rfam family "Bacterial small subunit ribosomal RNA", at positions 8 to 806 of the family's 1533-position model. The record is from RNAcentral.